GUUUCCUUUUUACGUAGGAUACAAAGUGGCAUUUUUACUAUACUUUGUGCUGUACAGAUGUAGCCAUGCAAGGUCUGCUUCUGAGGCAUCUGUGAUCCACCUCACUUACAUUGAUGACCAGCUGACAUGUGGACCUCACAGCCUGUAAUUCUCCUUGGCUUCAAUGGCUUCCUUCCCAAACCAGCCACAACCUUCUCUGAACAGCCUCAUCACAGAGCUCUAGUCCUACUAAACUAAACAGGAGUUGGUUGACCUCAGCCUUAGAUGCAAGUUCAUUGGAGUGAGUCCACUGCUGACUGGCUGACUUUCAAAGCAUGAGACUAUCCCUGAUUGGUUGGCUUUCAGAGGUGAGUUCACAGAAGCAAAUUGUCAUUGAUCAAUUAGACAGGUUUAAAACCAGUUCUGGUGUUUACUGGUUACCAUGUCAGCUUUUUCCUGGGAGUGAGGACGUUUAAAAAUUCUCAUACCUAAAAAAUGUACUAGCCGUAGUAAAUUUUGGCGUUGGCAGUAACUUUAAUUCCAUCUAGCAUAACAUACCAUUUCCCCAGCUAAAAUAGAAGACCCAAGUUGGCAUAGAGGCUCCAUCUGA
Molecule: long non-coding RNA, 589 nt
Organism: Diceros bicornis minor
Lineage: Eukaryota; Metazoa; Chordata; Mammalia; Perissodactyla; Rhinocerotidae
Exons: 3
Source: RefSeq, a predicted model, not a curated record